This 530-nucleotide long non-coding RNA is filed under the name Glycine max (soybean). Its description in RNAcentral is "long non-coding RNA (GMAX_LNC001846)". Lineage: Eukaryota; Viridiplantae; Streptophyta; Magnoliopsida; Fabales; Fabaceae. The record is from RNAcentral.
CUGGAAAUUUAAAAAUUAUUGAUCAAACGGAACUUGUAUCAAAUAAUUAAAAACAAAACAAAAUUGUUAUUUAUUGCAUGGACAAUCUACAUAGGAUGGUAACAACUUAACACAAACUCAGACUGUUAUUGAUGAACUUUAACUAGCCCUCAAAAAAUGAACGAACAAAUGAAUUUGAAGAUCAUCAAACAUACAUAGAAUAUUUCAAAUGUGACAACCACAACAAAGGUAGAAUACACAAAGCGUGGAAACAAUUACAACACCCUCUACCACCGAGACAAUCUUGAAAACAACGUUGUCAACGAUGAUGGUCAUGGUGGGUAAGUGAAGCCGUUUGCUGCGAAAAGACGACGACAACCUCCGUGGCCACAACUCUUUGCUCAUCUUCUUAAAGGACCAGCUGCUACCACUCUUCUUCUCCAUAUCAAAUGAAACACAAAUCUCAAAUAUCUUCGAAAAGCUCUAAUAAAUUUUUCUUUGGUGUGUGUCGUUCUUUUUUAUUAUUAUUAUUUAGCGGAAUAAAUGUGUAU